UACAAAGGAAUUGACGGGACCCGCACAAGCGGUGGAUGAUGUGGUUUAAUUCGAUGCAACGCGAAAACCUUACCCACCUUUGACAUGUACGGAAGCCUUUAGAGAUAGAGGCGUGCUCGAAAGAGAGCCGUAACACAGGUGCUGCAUGGCUGUCGUCAGCUCGUGUCGUGAGAUGUUGGGUUAAGUCCCGCAACGAGCGCAACCCUUGUCAUUAGUUGCUACAUUCAGUUGGGCACUCUAAUGAGACUGCCGGUGACAAGCCGGAGGAAGGUGGGGAUGACGUCAAGUCCUCAUGGCCCUUAUAGGUGGGGCUACACACGUCAUACAAUGGCUGGUACAAAGGGUUGCCAACCCGCGAGGGGGAGCUAAUCCCAUAAAGCCAGUCGUAGUCCGGAUCGUAGUCUGCAACUCGACUACGUGAAGUCGGAAUCGCUAGUAAUCGUGGAUCAGAAUGUCACGGUGAAUACGUUCCCGGGUCUU
Molecule: ribosomal RNA, 480 nt
Filed under: uncultured Rhodoferax sp.
Lineage: Bacteria; Pseudomonadati; Pseudomonadota; Betaproteobacteria; Burkholderiales; Comamonadaceae
Description: bacterial SSU rRNA
Rfam family: Bacterial small subunit ribosomal RNA
Source: RNAcentral